RNAcentral lists this ribosomal RNA (459 nucleotides) under uncultured bacterium. RNAcentral's name for it is "partial 16S ribosomal RNA". It matches the Rfam family "Bacterial small subunit ribosomal RNA", at positions 338 to 795 of the family's 1533-position model. The record is from RNAcentral.
CCUACGGGAGGCAGCAGUGAGGAAUAUUGGUCAAUGGGCGCGAGCCUGAACCAGGCAAGUAGCGUGAAGGAUGACUGCCCUACGGGUUGUAAACUUCUUUUAUAAAGGAAUAAAACAGGGUAUGCAUACCCUCUUGUAUGUACCAUAUGAAUAAGGAUCGGCUAACUCCGUGCCAGCAGCCGCGGUAAUAUGGAGGAUCCGAGCGUUAUCCGGAUUUAUUGGGUUUAAAGGGAGCGUAGGUGGAUUGUUAAGUCAGCGGUAAAAUUUCGGGGCUCAACCCCGUCGUGCCGUUGAAACUGGCGUUCUUGAGUGAGCGAGAAGUAUGCGGAAUGCGUGGUGUAGCGGUGAAAUGCAUAGAUAUCACGCAGAACUCCGAUUGCGAAGGCAGCAUACCGGCGCUCAACUGACGCUCAUGCACGAAAGCGUGGGUAUCGAACAGGAUUAGAUACCCCUGUAGUC